AGCCGUUUAGUCAAGUGGUUAAGACAUGCGACUCAAGUUCGCACAUGCAUCGGUUCAAUCCCGGUAGCGGCUA
Non-coding RNA from Pseudocohnilembus persalinus, 73 nucleotides. NCBI's taxonomy places the organism in Eukaryota, Ciliophora, Oligohymenophorea, Philasterida, Pseudocohnilembidae. The record is from Rfam.